RNAcentral lists this ribosomal RNA (649 nucleotides) under uncultured marine bacterium. RNAcentral describes it as "bacterial SSU rRNA". It matches the Rfam family "Bacterial small subunit ribosomal RNA", at positions 8 to 703 of the family's 1533-position model. The record is from RNAcentral.
AGAGUUUGAUCAUGGCUCAGAAUGAACGCUGGCGGCAUGCCUAACACAUGCAAGUCGAACGAGAUCUUCGGAUCAAGUGGCGCACGGGUGAGUAACGCGUGGGAACCUACCUUUUAGUACGGGACAACGUUUGGAAACGAACGCUAAUACCGUAUAAGCCCUCCGGGGGAAAGGUCAGCCGCUAAAAGAGGGGCCCGCGUCUGAUUAGCUUGUUGGUAGGGUAAUGGCCUACCAAGGCGACGAUCAGUAGCUGGUCUGAGAGGAUGAUCAGCCACACUGGGACUGAGACACGGCCCAGACUCCUACGGGAGGCAGCAGUGGGGAAUAUUGGACAAUGGAGGCAACUCUGAUCCAGCAAUGCCGCGUGUGUGAUGAAGGCCCUAGGGUUGUAAAGCACUUUCAACGGUGAAGAUGAUGACGGUAGCCGUAGAAGAAACCCCGGCUAACUUCGUGCCAGCAGCCGCGGUAAUACGAAGGGGGCGAGCGUUAUUCGGAAUUAUUGGGCGUAAAGGGCUCGCAGGCUGCUUGAACAGUUAGACGUGAAAUCCCCGGGCUCAACCUGGGAACUGCGUUUAAUACUAGCAAGCUAGAGAAAUAGAGAGGAAAGUGGAACUCCCAGUGUAGAGGUGAAAUUCGUAGAUAUUGGGAA